AUUGAACGCUGGCGGCGUGCUUUACACAUGCAAGUCGAACGGCAUCACGGGUGCUUGCACCUGGUGGCGAGUGGCGAACGGGUGAGUAAUACAUCGAGACGUACCAAGUAGAGGGGGAUAACUAAUCGAAAGAUUAGCUAAUACCGCAUAAUCUCUGAGGAGGAAAGGUGGGGACCAGCAAUGGCCUGUCGUUACUUGAGCGGUCGAUGGUUGAUUAGCUAGUUGGUGGGGUAAGAGCUUACCAAGGCGAUGAUCGAUAGCUGUUCUGAGAGGAAGAUCAGCCACACUGGGACUGAGACACGGCCCAGACUCCUACGGGAGGCAGCAGUGGGGGAAUAUUGGACAAUGGGGGCAACCCUGAUCCAGCAACGCCGCGUGAAUG
Molecule: ribosomal RNA, 382 nt
Filed under: uncultured bacterium
Lineage: Bacteria
Description: bacterial SSU rRNA
Rfam family: Bacterial small subunit ribosomal RNA
Source: RNAcentral